CCUACGGGAGGCAGCAGUGGGGAAUAUUGCACAAUGGGGGAAACCCUGAUGCAGCGACGCCGCGUGAGUGAAGAAGGCUUUCGGUACGUAAAGCUCUAUCAGCAGGGAAGAAAAUGACGGUACCUGACCAAGAAGCCCCGGCUAACUACGUGCCAGCAGCCGCGGUAAUACGUAGGGGGCAAGCGUUAUCCGGAUUUACUGGGGGUAAAGGGUGCGUAGGCGGUAGUGGAAGUCUGGAGUGGAAUGCCGGGGCCCAACCCCCGAACUGCUUUGGAAACUGUGGAGCUGGAGUGCAGGAGAGGUAAGCGGAAUUCCUAGUGUAGCGGUGAAAUGCGUAGAUAUUAGGAGGAACACCAGUGGCGAAGGCGGCUUACUGGACUGUAACUGACGUUGAGGCUCGAAAGCGUGGGGAGCAAACAGGAUUAGAUACCCGGGUAGUC
RNAcentral lists this ribosomal RNA (440 nucleotides) under uncultured bacterium. RNAcentral's name for it is "partial 16S ribosomal RNA". It matches the Rfam family "Bacterial small subunit ribosomal RNA", at positions 338 to 795 of the family's 1533-position model. The record is from RNAcentral.